Paramuricea clavata is the source of this 288-nucleotide non-coding RNA. The record is from the annotation of a GenBank genome assembly. Lineage: Eukaryota; Metazoa; Cnidaria; Anthozoa; Malacalcyonacea; Plexauridae.
UUUCAGGUUUGCGCGUACUUCAUCUUUACAUAAGUGCAUAUUUUGCAUUAUUUUUUUGCUUUAUAAAUCUCCUUGAGCAAGUCACAAGACACAAGUUGAACAUUUGAAUAGACAAGGGAGACCACAAGAAUCUGUUUUGGAUAGAAAUGUUCGUUUACAACAUGGACGAAUGAUAUUUUACGUGUUGUAUGUUAAAUAGACCUGCGUAAUGUGAGUAUACUGUAUCUCUGUUUAUAUUAUUAAACUUGUAUUUAUUUGUAGUAUUUCUAUGCUAAAACUGCCCAUGCC